CACUCCUGCGGGAGGCAGCAGUGAGGAAUAUUGGACAAUGGGUGGAAGCCUGAUCCAGCCAUCCCGCGUGCAGGAAGACGGCCCUAUGGGUUGUAAACUGCUUUUAUCUGGGGAUAAACCUACUUACGUGUAAGUAGCUGAAGGUACCAGAAGAAUAAGCACCGGCUACCUCCGUGCCAGCAGCCGCGGUAAUACGGAGGGUGCAAGCGUUAUCCGGAUUUAUUGGGUUUAAAGGGUCCGUAGGCGGACUGAUAAGUCAGUGGUGAAAUCCGACAGCUUAACUGUCGAACUGCCAUUGAUACUGUUAGUCUUGAGGAAGGUUGAAGUGGCUGGAAUAAGUAGUGUAGCGGUGAAAUGCAUAGAUAUUACUGAGAACACCAAGUGCGAAGGCAGGUCACUAAGUCUUAACUGACGCUGAUGGACGAAAGCGUGGGGAGCGAACAGGAUUAGAAACCCUAGUAGUCCCA
Molecule: ribosomal RNA, 467 nt
Filed under: uncultured organism
Description: partial 16S ribosomal RNA
Rfam family: Bacterial small subunit ribosomal RNA
Source: RNAcentral